UUAUCUCAGAUUUUGAGCCUUGCAGCAAUAGAUUGACAGUAGAAAAAGGAUUCGUUGUCCAAAAACUUUAUGAAAAAAGUGAUGAACCAGAGAGCAUGAAACAACUCUCUAUCUUCUCGUCUCUUCUUGGAAGUGUACUAGAAGCAGCUUCACCUCCACUUUAAUGGAGAUUGGGGGGCAGAUGAAAAUUCGCCCCCGAAAAGACAACGCACUGAUAAUAAGCCUUCACAUUAAUGAAGACGGCUCCCACGUACUGUAAAGUGACAA
Molecule: long non-coding RNA, 267 nt
Filed under: Elaeis guineensis (African oil palm)
Lineage: Eukaryota; Viridiplantae; Streptophyta; Magnoliopsida; Arecales; Arecaceae
Description: long non-coding RNA (EGUI_LNC056254)
Source: RNAcentral